CCAGGUGUGUACAUAAUUGCUUCAGGUUCUACUCCCAGCAGUGGAGGACAUGGGAAGCCUGCUUUAUCCAAUUAGCAUGACAUCGACAUUGUUGGAGGAAGAUUGAGAAAUCUGUGCAAGUGGCAAAAGUUAAAAUUCACAAGGCCUUGGCAAAAAGAGGGCAAGAGCUCACCUAGCCUCCGUGCCACCAUUAAUACAUCAAAUUUUCUGCCAAUUUGCUUAGUUCCUUGUGCAAUAACUAUAUACAUAAUGCUAAAUUAUCACCCCUAGUACUUAGUGCAAAAUUACCUCCUCUAGUGCUUCAGAAGCCGGCCGAGCCUAAUUUUAGUGCAAAAGACCAUUCAUAGGGAGCAUAUUCUUGUAGAUGACAUUGCAGCACAAUGGUACCUUGUUGGAACACCUGAUGACAUAUACGGUAAUAGUAUUACCAUGUACGUAUUUUCUCCAAUCUCGAGCUUUCUUUUUAUACAUAGGUACGUUUUAUUUCAAUACACUAUUGCCACUGUGGAUAUACACGGAUUGAGAUUUGGCUUGAUUUUAUAAGAAAUUUACCAGUAUGUAUGUAUAUGUGUUCAUUUACUUGCUCUCUAUUUUUU
Molecule: long non-coding RNA, 596 nt
Filed under: Olea europaea subsp. europaea
Lineage: Eukaryota; Viridiplantae; Streptophyta; Magnoliopsida; Lamiales; Oleaceae
Source: RNAcentral